GAUGAACGCUGGCGGCGUGCCUAAUACAUGCAAGUCGAGCGAAUGGAUUAAGAGCUUGCUCUUAUGAAGUUAGCGGCGGACGGGUGAGUAACACGUGGGUAACCUGCCCAUAAGACUGGGAUAACUCCGGGAAACCGGGGCUAAUACCGGAUAACAUUUUGAACCGCAUGGUUCGAAAUUGAAAGGCGGCUUCGGCUGUCACUUAUGGAUGGACCCGCGUCGCACUAGCUAGUUGGUGAGGUAACGGCUCACCAAGGCAACGAUGCGUAGCCGACCUGAGAGGGUGCUCGGCCACACUGGGACUGAGACACGGCCCAGACUCCUACGGGAGGCAGCAGUAGGGAAUCUUCCGCAGUGGACGAAAGUCUGACGGAGCAACGCCGCGUGAGUGAUGAAGGCUUUCGGGUCGUAAAACUCUGUUGUUAGGGAAGAACAAGUGCUAGUUGAAUAAGCUGGCACCUUGACGGUACCUAACCAGAAAGCCACGGCUAACUACGUGCCAGCCGCCGCCGUAA
Molecule: ribosomal RNA, 515 nt
Filed under: uncultured bacterium
Lineage: Bacteria
Description: partial 16S ribosomal RNA
Rfam family: Bacterial small subunit ribosomal RNA
Source: RNAcentral